UCCUGACAAGAUUACGGAAAGGGCAUUGAAAGGCUAGUCGAAAAUGAUAUCUAGCUCCAUAUGGCUGGCAGAGACUUUAAGACAUCCUUCCACAGUGCUGGGGAAUGGUUGGACCAUAGAUCAUUUGGUACUUCGGAUUAGGGAAACAGAAUUAAAUACACAGUGACACAAGUUGUUAAGGAGGGGAAAGAUAUUAAAUAUAUAAUAAGACGUGUGAAAAAAAGAAAAAUAGAGGAAAAAUGAUUAAAUAAUUUGUGGUCCACUGUGAACCAGGUCCAACCAAUAAAUGAGCCACGAGAUGCAGACAACUGUUCUUCUCUUAGACUAAAUUGGCUUCAAACUUCUCCUUCUAUGAUAUGCACGUAUUCUUCCACUUUCUGCCCUUCCUAGUUAGGUAUUUAACUUACCUCCGCUCUCUAUUUAUAUUCACAAACCAUCUUCCAAAUUAGCCGGAUGAUCAAGGUUUUUACGUUCACCAAAAAAAAAAAAAAAGAAGAUAAGUGACAAGUUCAAACACAAAGAGAAUUCAUUUUGUAUGAGACCAUUGGUUGCUCUCUUCCAGGAAAGGAGAGAAGACAAAAUGACUCAUGAGACACUCACUUAGUUUACCAAAGCUUCUUCAUAAGUUUCAUUGUGCCCUUUAAAAAAAAAAAAA
This 655-nucleotide long non-coding RNA is filed under the name Elaeis guineensis (African oil palm). Its description in RNAcentral is "long non-coding RNA (EGUI_LNC002976)". Lineage: Eukaryota; Viridiplantae; Streptophyta; Magnoliopsida; Arecales; Arecaceae. The record is from RNAcentral.